RNAcentral lists this ribosomal RNA (468 nucleotides) under uncultured bacterium. RNAcentral describes it as "partial 16S ribosomal RNA". It matches the Rfam family "Bacterial small subunit ribosomal RNA", at positions 28 to 507 of the family's 1533-position model. The record is from RNAcentral.
GACGAACGCUGGCGGCGUGCUUAACACAUGCAAGUCGAACGGAAAGGCCCUGCUUUUGUGGGGUGCUCGAGUGGCGAACGGGUGAGUAACACGUGAGUAACCUGCCCUUGACUUUGGGAUAACUUCAGGAAACUGGGGCUAAUACCGGAUAGGAGCUCCUGCUGCAUGGUGGGGGUUGGAAAGUUUCGGCGGUUGGGGAUGGACUCGCGGCUUAUCAGCUUGUUGGUGGGGUAGUGGCUUACCAAGGCUUUGACGGGUAGCCGGCCUGAGAGGGUGACCGGCCACAUUGGGACUGAGAUACGGCGCAGACUCGUACGGGAGGCAGCAGUGGGGAAUAGUGCACAAUGGGCGGGAGCCUGAUGCAGCAACGCCGCGUGCGGGAUGACGGCCUUCGGGUUGUAAACCGCUUUCGCCUGUGACGAAGCGUGAGUGACGGUAAUGGGUAAAGAAGCACCGGCUAACUACGUG